Molecule: ribosomal RNA, 449 nt
Filed under: uncultured bacterium
Lineage: Bacteria
Description: bacterial SSU rRNA
Rfam family: Bacterial small subunit ribosomal RNA
Source: RNAcentral
UUCCAGACUCCUACGGGAGGCAGCAGUGAGGGAUAUUGGGCAAUGGGGGAAACCCUGACCCAGCGACGCCGCGUGAGGGAAGACGGUCUUCGGAUUGUAAACCCCUGUCUUUGGGGACGAAAAAGGACGGUACCCAAGGAGGAAGCUCCGGCUAACUACGUGCCAGCAGCCGCGGUAAUACGUAGGGAGCGAGCGUUGUCCGGAAUUACUGGGUGUAAAGGGAGCGUAGGCGGGAUUGCAAGUUGGAUGUGAAAACUGCGGGCUCAACCCGGAGCGUGCAUUCAAAACUGCGAUUCUUGAGUGAAGUAGAGGCAAGCGGAAUUCCUAGUGUAGCGGUGAAAUGCGUAGAUAUUAGGAGGAACACCAGUGGCGAAGGCGGCCUGCUGGGCUUUAACUGACGCUGAGGCUCGAAAGCGUGGGUAGCAAACAGGAUUAGAUACCCUAGUAGC